CUAGCGACUUCAGAGUUUGAUCCUGGCUCAGGACGAACGCUGGCGGCGUGCUUAACACAUGCAAGUCGAACGAGACGAUUUAGAAGCUUGCUUUUAUUGAGUCGAGUGGCAAACGGGUGAGUAACGCGUAGACAACCUGCCGCAAAGAUGGGGACAACAGUCCGAAAGGACUGCUAAUACCGAAUGUUGUAUCUCCUCCGCAUGGAAGAGAUAUUAAAGAUGGCCUCUACUUGUAAGCUAUCGCUUUGCGAUGGGUCUGCGUCUGAUUAGCUAGUUGGUGGGGCAACGGCCUACCAAGGCGACGAUCAGUAGCCGGUCUGAGAGGAUGAACGGCCACAUUGGAACUGAGACACGGUCCAG
This 360-nucleotide ribosomal RNA is filed under the name uncultured bacterium. Its description in RNAcentral is "bacterial SSU rRNA". It matches the Rfam family "Bacterial small subunit ribosomal RNA", at positions 1 to 334 of the family's 1533-position model. The record is from RNAcentral.